AAAUUGAAGAGUUUGAUCAUGGCUCAGAUUGAACGCUGGCGGCAGGCCUAACACAUGCAAGUCGAACGGUAGCACAGAGGAGCUUGCUCCUUGGGUGACGAGUGGCGGACGGGUGAGUAAUGUCUGGGAAACUGCCCGAUGGAGGGGGAUAACUACUGGAAACGGUAGCUAAUACCGCAUAACGUCGCAAGACCAAAGAGGGGGACCUUCGGGCCUCUUGCCAUCGGAUGUGCCCAGAUGGGAUUAGCUAGUAGGUGGGGU
RNAcentral lists this ribosomal RNA (261 nucleotides) under Citrobacter freundii. RNAcentral's name for it is "partial 16S ribosomal RNA". It matches the Rfam family "Bacterial small subunit ribosomal RNA", at positions 1 to 258 of the family's 1533-position model. The record is from RNAcentral. Lineage: Bacteria; Pseudomonadati; Pseudomonadota; Gammaproteobacteria; Enterobacterales; Enterobacteriaceae.